Molecule: ribosomal RNA, 516 nt
Filed under: uncultured bacterium
Lineage: Bacteria
Description: bacterial SSU rRNA
Rfam family: Bacterial small subunit ribosomal RNA
Source: RNAcentral
UGGGGAAUAUUGCGCAAUGGGGGAAAGCCUGACGCAGCAACGCCGCGUGAGGGAUGAAGGAUUUUGGUUGGUAAACCUCUUUCAAGUGGGAAGAAUAUUGACGGUACCACUAAAGGAAGCCCCGGCUAACUCCGUGCCAGCAGCCGCGGUAAUACGGAGGGGGCGAGCGUUGUUUGGAAUCAUUGGGCGUAAAGAGUAUGUAGGCGGCUAUUUAAGUCAGACGUGUAAGCCCACGGCUCAACCGUGGAAUUGCGUUUGAAACUAUUUAGCUUGAGUGCAGGAGAGGAAGGCGGAAUUCCCAGUGUAGCGGUGAAAUGCAUUGAUAUUGGGAAGAACACCGGUGGGGAAGGCGGCCUUCUGGUCUGACACUGACGCUGAGAUACGAAAGCCAGGGGAGCGAACGGGAUUAGAUACCCCGGUAGUCCUGGCCGUAAACGAUGGGCACUAGGUGCGGGAGGUAUUGAUCCCUUCAGUGUCGCAGCUAACGCAUUAAUUUCCGCCCUCAGUCUCUCCUGU